GAAAUGCGAUAAGUAAUGUGAAUUGCAGAAUUCAGUGAACCAUCGAAUCUUUGAACGCAUAUUGCGUCCCUUGGCAUUCCGAGGUCAACCUUGAGAAUCACGUACCCCGCGGCGGGCGGCGCUCCGACCUCCAAGGCGAGCCUGGUUUAGGUUCCACUACGCCUGAGCCGGAACCGCCGCCGCCGAC
RNAcentral lists this unclassified non-coding RNA (187 nucleotides) under uncultured fungus. Its description in RNAcentral is "sequence contains ITS1". The stretch from base 1 to 100 matches the Rfam family "5.8S ribosomal RNA", at positions 50 to 154 of the family's 154-position model. Rfam says of the family: 5.8S ribosomal RNA (5.8S rRNA) is a component of the large subunit of the eukaryotic ribosome. It is transcribed by RNA polymerase I as part of the 45S precursor that also contains 18S and 28S rRNA. Lineage: Eukaryota; Fungi. The record is from RNAcentral.